This 779-nucleotide long non-coding RNA is filed under the name Capra hircus (goat). Its description in RNAcentral is "lncRNA (ENSCHIG00000002688.1)". The record is from RNAcentral. Lineage: Eukaryota; Metazoa; Chordata; Mammalia; Artiodactyla; Bovidae.
ACAUGACGUAGCAACUAAGCAUAGAGAAGCACCAGUACAAUUUUUAUUUAAAGUAUCUUAAUAACUGCAUCAUUUCUGUUCAACCAGGUAGCCCCCCUGCUUGGCUGAGCAUCCAAAGAUUCACCUGGAACUGAUAAACCCCUAGUUUCGUAGUCUCCUCUCUCUCCCCCUUUCCACAAAGCUCUGCUCCAGCCCAUCAGAAGUGCUGCCUUCCCUGAACCAGCUGUGAACUUGGCUCCUUCUAUGUCUUCUGUCCCUGCUCCUCCUUCAAGAUCUGGAAGAACAGCUAUGGAAUCUCAACCAUCCUCCAGGAACCUCUAAAAACCCCACCCACGGUCCAGCCUGGAAAGGGUCAGCCAGUGGCUCCUGCAGGCCCUUCCUGGCUGUGACUGCCAUCUUGUGGACACAGAUAGUAACUGCACUGGGGCCAGCCUCAAACACGCACCUAAGGACCAAAAGACUUCAUGACAAACAAGUGAUAUUUCAGAAGGAAGAGAGACUGAAGGAAAAUAAACCCCGACGUGAGGAGCGGCUGUCAGACCCACGGAACCUGUGUCUCACACUGGGUCUCAGGGAGCCUUGGCGGUCAGCCUCAAAACCCCAAGUCAUGGCACAGCAAACGCACUGCACACUUGGUGCAAGAAUCAGACUCAGAGAAAAGAAGAAAGGGAGGGAGAGAUGAAGGGAAAGGGCAACAGUACUGCCGAGGAUGCAAACGAGCUACCCCAAAAUAAAACUAAAUUACUACAUUCCAAUUGAAACUGCCUGGAAAAGUUUCC